GUUCUAUAUAAAACAACAAACAAAUAUAACAAUAGUCUUUCUUUAUUUUAAAAUUAUUCCUUUUUUUCGGUUACAUUAUUAACCUUUUUACAUUGCUUGGUGUUGUAAACAUUUAUUAUUCGAAUUUCGUUACAAUGUGUUUUGGUCCAAAGUUGGGUAUUCAUUGGCAUGGCCGAGGCUAGUUUAACCAGUCUUGACCCACGCUUGGAUCUCCAAUGAAUGGCCAAGACUAGGUUAGCCAGUGUUGGCCCAAGGUUGGCUGAUCAUUGGCAUGGCCGAGGCUGGGUUAACCAGUCUUGGCCUACGCUUGGAUCUCCAAUGAAUGGCCAAGGCUGGGUUAGCCAGUGUUGGCCCAAGGUUGGCUGAUUAUUGGCAUGGCCGAGGCUGGGUUAACCAGUCUUGGCCCACGCUUGGAUCUCCAAUGAAUGGCCAAGGCUGGGUUAGCCAGUCUUGGUUUAAGGUUGGGUGAUCAUUGGCAUGGCCGAGGCUGGGUUAACCAGUCUAGGCCCACGCUUGGAUCUCCAAUGAAUGGCCAAGGC
Molecule: unclassified non-coding RNA, 539 nt
Filed under: Melitaea cinxia (Glanville fritillary)
Lineage: Eukaryota; Metazoa; Arthropoda; Insecta; Lepidoptera; Nymphalidae
Description: misc RNA ENSMCXG00005016617.1
Source: RNAcentral